RNAcentral lists this ribosomal RNA (497 nucleotides) under uncultured bacterium. RNAcentral's name for it is "partial 16S ribosomal RNA". It matches the Rfam family "Bacterial small subunit ribosomal RNA", at positions 28 to 507 of the family's 1533-position model. The record is from RNAcentral.
GAUGAACGCUGGCGGCGUGCCUAAUACAUGCAAGUCGAGCGAACAGACGAGGAGCUUGCUCCUCUGACGUUAGCGGCGGACGGGUGAGUAACACGUGGAUAACCUACCUAUAAGACUGGGAUAACUUCGGGAAACCGGAGCUAAUACCGGAUAAUAUAUUGAACCGCAUGGUUCAAUAGUGAAAGACGGUUUUGCUGUCACUUAUAGAUGGAUCCGCGCCGCAUUAGCUAGUUGGUAAGGUAACGGCUUACCAAGGCGACGAUGCGUAGCCGACCUGAGAGGGGGAUCGGCCACCCUGGAACUGAGGCACGGUCCAGACUCCUACGGGAGGCAGCAGUAGGGAAUCUUCCGCAAUGGGCGAAAGCUUGACGGAGCAACGCCGCGUGAGUGAUGAAGGUCUUCGGAUCGUAAAACUCUGUUAUUAGGGAAGAACAAAUGUGUAAGUAACUAUGCACGUCUUGACGGUACCUAAUCAGAAAGCCACGGCUAACUACGUG